RNAcentral lists this non-coding RNA (29 nucleotides) under Cricetulus griseus (Chinese hamster). Lineage: Eukaryota; Metazoa; Chordata; Mammalia; Rodentia; Cricetidae. The record is from RNAcentral.
GCUUUAGUCAUUAAUGUGAGAGACUUAGA